CGACUUCCCCCAGCGACGUCGAAACUCGCGCGGCAUGUGAUUGCGAAUAAAAUUCUCCUACAAAAUUUCAAUCAGCUUUAAAAAAUUAUUUAGUAAGAAAAAUAAGGUACAUGAAGCUGGUUUUCAGGGAAUCCUGGUUUAGUGAGCAUUUCUAUAUAAAGCAAAUUUCCGGCGACUCACUUGAAAUCCUUUAUAUUUGAUGAGUUCCUUGAGCCUGUCGACGAUGUAGAAGAAGCCAUCGCGGUCGUAGUAACCGAUGUCGCCGGUGCGCACGAAGCCGUCGGCGUCCAACAGCGCGGCGCCGGCGGCCGCGUCGCCCAGGUAGCCCUUCAUGCGCAGCGGAGACUUGAUCCACAGCUCGCCCUCCUGGUGGGGGCCCAGUUUCUGCCCGGUCUCUAUGUCAAUUACCUGUGACGAUCGUUCCAUUCAUUGAAGAUUUUUCUCUUUGAUAAAGAGGUGCCGCGCCGCACCACACUUCGUGCAGUGACGACAGGUCAUACUUCUCCACGAGCGGAUCUUUGGCAAGGAAUACUGCUAAUGGUGGGACUAUAGUUGUCAUGUUUAUCUGAAAUCCAUGAUACAAUCAGUGAAAAAACAAUAGUCCUUUUCUUUAAAUUAUACAGCCAUGGCAACAACUUGCGUUGUCAAAUCUGGCUGACGUAGGUAUCUUGUAAUACAAGAUUUCAUAUAUGUUCUGAGAAUAAAACCUUGAACUUAAUUCUCAACCCUUACAUGUUUGUUAGUGAAACAAUGUCUUAGAAUGUUCUUCAGUUUUUCUCGAGUUUUAAAUUUACAAUCAAAAGAUUCAAUUACAUAUUUUAUUACAUAAUUGGUAGAUUCAAUUAAAUUAUUUUAAUAUAUGUGUGUUAUAAUUAUUAUAUGUAAUAAAUACCUUAUAAUUUUGUAUGGUUUCCAAAAACUGUUCAGGUUCGAAGCGAACCAGAAACACUAUCCUGAUCCGCAUUGCCAGCACCGCCAUUGUUGUGAUGAAGCCGUAAGCAUGAAACCAGGGAAUCAGAGACAGGCCGUUCAAGAUAUCCUUAUUUAUGUUUGAUUUUUUGUUGAGCUGAGAGUGAUGAAAGUAGUACCUGUAAAAAUAUUAUGAUUUCAGAUUUCAAUU
Molecule: long non-coding RNA, 1120 nt
Organism: Plodia interpunctella (Indianmeal moth)
Lineage: Eukaryota; Metazoa; Arthropoda; Insecta; Lepidoptera; Pyralidae
Exons: 3
Source: RefSeq, a predicted model, not a curated record